GUCAGGGUCUAUAGUUCUUAGAACCCCAGCAGACUGUAAAACUGGCAGGAUUUUCUACACAGCCCAAACUGGUGGUUCACAAAAAACCCAGGAGGGAUGGAUCAUAAUUUCAUUUAGAAUUGUUUGACUAGCACUUGUUAACUUUAUUAAAAUAGCAAAUACAAGUAAAAUUCUAUGGAUUUGAAAAAAAUUAUACCUGGCAU
This 203-nucleotide long non-coding RNA is filed under the name Homo sapiens (human). RNAcentral's name for it is "HSALNT0058688". The record is from RNAcentral. Lineage: Eukaryota; Metazoa; Chordata; Mammalia; Primates; Hominidae.